CCUACGGGUGGCAGCAGUGGGGAAUAUUGCACAAUGGGGGGAACCCUGAUGCAGCGACGCCGCGUGAGUGAAGAAGGAUUUCGGUAUGUAAAGCUCUAUCAGCAGGGAAGAAAAUGACGGUACCUGACUAAGAAGCCCCGGCUAACUACGUGCCAGCAGCCGCGGUAAUACGUAGGGGGCAAGCGUUAUCCGGAUUUACUGGGUGUAAAGGGGGCGCAGACGGCUGUGCAAGUCUGGAGUGAAAGGCGGGGGCCCAACCCCCGGACUGCUCUGGAAACUGUAAAGCUGGAGUGCAGGAGAGGUAAGCGGAAUUCCUAGUGUAGCGGUGAAAUGCGUAGAUAUUAGGAGGAACACCAGUGGCGAAGGUGGCUUACUGGACUGCAACUGACGUUGAGGCUCGAAAGCGUGGGGAGCAAACAGGAUUAGAUACCCGGGUAGUC
RNAcentral lists this ribosomal RNA (440 nucleotides) under uncultured bacterium. RNAcentral's name for it is "partial 16S ribosomal RNA". It matches the Rfam family "Bacterial small subunit ribosomal RNA", at positions 338 to 795 of the family's 1533-position model. The record is from RNAcentral.